UAGUCAUAUGCUGUCUCAAAGAUUAAGCCAUGCAUGUCUAAGUACAUACUGUUUAUAAAGUGAAACCGCGAAUGGCUCAUUAAAUCAGUGCCCUCCCGCGAUGGACCACCUCACCGUGGUGGGAGGGUGCUAUGUCCCCACUAGGCUAUUGAUCAUUACUGGGUCUCUAGCUGGCGGAUACUAAGAGUUCAUCGGGUAAUACCUGAGCCAAGACACAGGAACCUGUUCAGUGAUUUCGGUCGCUGUCUAAGGACUAGCAGUGGGGAUCUUAGCAACUUCGGUUGCAUUUCUUGUGAUGACUCUGAAUAACUGAGCAAAUCGUAUGGCCUCUGAGCCGACGAUGUAUCCCUCAAGCAACUGCCUUAUCAACUGUCGAUGGUAGGUUAUGCGCCUACCAUGGUUGUAACGGGUAACGGGGAAUUAGGGUUCGAUUCCGGAGAGGGAGCCUGAGAAACGGCUACCACAUCUAAGGAAGGCAGCAGGCGCGCAAAUUACACAAUCCCAGUACGGGGAUGUAGUGACGAAAAAAACAAUACGGGACUCUAUUGAGGCCCCGUAAUUGGAAUGAGUACAAUUUAAAUCCUUUAACGAGGAUCUAUUGGAGGGCAAGUCUGGUGCCAGCAGCCGCGGUAAUUCCAGCUCCAAUAGCGUAUAUUA
This 657-nucleotide ribosomal RNA is filed under the name Tetranychus urticae (two-spotted spider mite). RNAcentral describes it as "rRNA tetur42g00325". It matches the Rfam family "Eukaryotic small subunit ribosomal RNA", at positions 21 to 606 of the family's 1831-position model. The record is from RNAcentral. Lineage: Eukaryota; Metazoa; Arthropoda; Arachnida; Trombidiformes; Tetranychidae.